UCGGGGGUAGCUCAAUGGCAGAGCGAGGCGCUGUUAACGCCUAGGUUGUGGGUUCGAGUCCCACCCCCCGAG
RNAcentral lists this transfer RNA (72 nucleotides) under Thermoleophilaceae bacterium. RNAcentral describes it as "tRNA-Asn". It matches the Rfam family "tRNA". From Rfam's summary of the family: Transfer RNA (tRNA) molecules are approximately 80 nucleotides in length. Their secondary structure includes four short double-helical elements and three loops (D, anti-codon, and T loops). The record is from RNAcentral. Lineage: Bacteria; Bacillati; Actinomycetota; Thermoleophilia; Thermoleophilales; Thermoleophilaceae.